Molecule: ribosomal RNA, 253 nt
Filed under: uncultured bacterium
Lineage: Bacteria
Description: partial 16S ribosomal RNA
Rfam family: Bacterial small subunit ribosomal RNA
Source: RNAcentral
UACGUAUGGUGCAAGCGUUAUCCGGAUUUACUGGGUGUAAAGGGAGCGCAGGCGGCACGGCAAGCCUGAUGUGAAAGCCCGCGGCCCAACCGCGGGACUGCAUUGGGAACUACCGGGCUGGAGUGCCGGAGAGGUAGGCGGAAUUCCUAGUGUAGCGGUGAAAUGCGUAGAUAUUAGGAGGAACACCAGUGGCGAAAGCGGCUCUCUGGCCUGUAACUGACACUGAGGCUCGAAAGCGUGGGGAGCAAACAGG